CGAACGCUGGCGGCGUGCCUAAUACAUGCAAGUCGAGCGGACCGACGGGAGCUUGCUCCCUUAGGUCAGCGGCGGACGGGUGAGUAACACGUGGGUAACCUGCCUGUAAGACUGGGAUAACUCCGGGAAACCGGGGCUAAUACCGGAUGCUUGAUUGAACCGCAUGGUUCAAUCAUAAAAGGUGGCUUUCAGCUACCACUUACAGAUGGACCCGCGGCGCAUUAGCUAGUUGGUGAGGUAACGGCUCACCAAGGCGACGAUGCGUAGCCGACCUGAGAGGGUGAUCGGCCACACUGGGACUGAGACACGGCCCAGACUCCUACGGGAGGCAGCAGUAGGGAAUCUUCCGCAAUGGACGAAAGUCUGACGGAGCAACGCCGCGUGAGUGAUGAAGGUUUUCGGAUCGUAAAACUCUGUUGUUAGGGAAGAACAAGUACCGUUCGAAUAGGGCGGUACCUUGACGGUACCUAACCAGAAAGCCACGGCUAACUACGUGCCAGCAGCCGCGGUAAUACGUAGGUGGCAAGCGUUGUCCGGAAUUAUUGGGCGUAAAGCGCGCGCAGGCGGUUUCUUAAGUCUGAUGUGAAAGCCCCCGGCUCAACCGGGGAGGGUCAUUGGAAACUGGGGAACUUGAGUGCAGAAGAGGAGAGUGGAAUUCCACGUGUAGCGGUGAAAUGCGUAGAGAUGUGGAGGAACACCAGUGGCGAAGGCGACUCUCUGGUCUGUAACUGACGCUGAGGCGCGAAAGCGUGGGGAGCGAACAGGAUUAGAUACCCUGGUAGUCCACGCCGUAAACGAUGAGUGCUAAGUGUUAGAGGGUUUCCGCCCUUUAGUGCUGCAGCAAACGCAUAAGCACUCCGCC
RNAcentral lists this ribosomal RNA (862 nucleotides) under Bacillus sp. M_Sw_HS_07/10_10_2(1). RNAcentral describes it as "bacterial SSU rRNA". It matches the Rfam family "Bacterial small subunit ribosomal RNA", at positions 30 to 873 of the family's 1533-position model. Lineage: Bacteria; Bacillati; Bacillota; Bacilli; Caryophanales; Bacillaceae. The record is from RNAcentral.